Molecule: transfer RNA, 77 nt
Filed under: Alphaproteobacteria bacterium
Lineage: Bacteria; Pseudomonadati; Pseudomonadota; Alphaproteobacteria
Description: tRNA-Cys
Rfam family: tRNA
About the family: Transfer RNA (tRNA) molecules are approximately 80 nucleotides in length. Their secondary structure includes four short double-helical elements and three loops (D, anti-codon, and T loops).
Source: RNAcentral
GGCCGAGUGGUGAAGUGGCUUAACACAGCGGUUUGCAAAACCGUCAUUCGGGGGUUCGAAUCCCCCCUCGGCCUCCA